CUUAGUGUCCACAUUUAUACAACAAGGGCAUUUGCAGCUUCACCAUUUCAGAGACUCCAUUCCUGAGCUAGCUGGGUGGCCCUGGGGAUGCCCUUGACCUAUGAAAUGGGAUAUGCCCAGACUAAUGGCGAGGGAGGAAAAAAAAAAGGUAUACAUUUCUGAAAGUACUUUAGAAACUGUAAUAUUUGGGGCACUUGGGUGGCUCAGUUGGUUGAGCAUCACACUCUUGAUUUCAGCUCAGGUCAUGAUCCCAGGGUUGUGGCAUCGAGCCCUGUGUCAGGCUCCAUACUGAGUGUGGAGCCUGCUUAGGAUUCUUUCCCUCCCUCUGCCCCUCUCCCCCCAAGCCCGCUUGCGUGCUCUCUCUCUCUCUCUCUCUCUGUCUCUCUGUCUCUCUGUCUCUCUCUCUCUCAACAAAACAAAAGAAAGAAAAAAGAAAGAAACUGUAAUGUUUACGGAUGCUGGAGACAUGGAGGGAGGGUGGAACCUAUGUCCCCAUAAAAAAGGUGUCUUAAAAGUCACUCACGCACCAUCAAAACACUCAGGUGGUUGGAAACCUGCUCAGUAGGUGUCUGUGUGCUAAGUGCUAAGGUGUUUCAGGGAUCACCUUGGCGGGCUUCAGGGCAUUUCCAUUCCAAUCACUGCUCAUUGGAAGAAAGCCCUUCCCCCUGCGUGGUAAAAUGUAGAGUAGAUCCCCAACAUGCAAAUCUUGAAAUUGACAGAAAUUAACUGGACUGAAGUUGGGAAUAUAGUAGGAGCUUAAGAAAAUGACUUGGAAGUGCUCACUAUAAAUAGAGUUUUGGAAGAAAAAUUAAUUUUUCAAGCUUGUCUGGGACUCACAAAGUAGAGAUGCUGGGGCUACUGUAGUGUGAUGGAUAGCAGUCUCUUCUUUGUCCCACCCCCACCCCCGACCACUGCUCAAAGUGAGCAGUUUGCACACACCUUAAAGAUUCAAAGUCGUUUUUAAAAGCUCUGAAAUCCAGGUGUCAACCAGAGAGUUGGAGGAAUUUGAGGGCUAUACAGUGAACCAGGAAAAAAGGCAACAGAGGAAGAAGAAUAGAGAGAGCAACUCAGGGGAGGGGAGUUGGAGAGGGGAGAGAAGAGAAGGAAUGCCCACGUUUCCUGGUGAUUUUAAUUUUCACAUCACAAAGUGCCACCCACCUGUCAACCAAGACACUUCCCUGUGCCACCUACUGUGACCACUGGGAGGGAAGAACGUGGAACUCAAUCCUUCCCACCCAGCCUGAUCUGCCUACUGCUGUUAGACCACAAAGGAAGGAAGAGCCUCCAAAAGUUGCCAAGGUUCUCUCUCUCUGAGGUAAAUGGCCAAUUUCCACAGCCACUGGAGUGAGAACGCUGACCCCAACUCCCCUACUGGACUUACACCUCAGUGCCACAGGAGCCUGGAGUCAGACCGUAGCCACCUUGGGUUGGCAGGGACACCCAGGGUUCAGUGAAGGAGGCAGUGCCAGAAUCCAGAAGUCACCAGUCCAGUCUCAGUCAGUGAUGAACUGAUUCUCCGAACUCUUUGGGCCAAGGACAAGCCAUGGCCUCCAUGCUUCUAGUCCCUUCCUUGAAGCGAUCGGGUAAAUCACAUGAUGAGCCUCAAGCAAGGGACUUUAAGCUGGUGGCUUCCAGCAGCUUCCUGCUCCUGAACCACCACUCUCUCUCUCUGAAGUCCUUCCAUCGUCAUUCACCCCCAACCCGUGCAGGCCCUAGGGAGGCUCUGACUCUGUUUGCGUGGUGAGCACCGGCCUCUGUGCCAGCUUCGUCACUAGCCAACUGUUUUGGUUUCCUGUGGCUGCCAUAACGAACUACCACCAACUCAGUGGCUUCCAACAACAGAAAUUUACUCUCAUAUAGUUCUGGAGGGUGGAACCCCACACUUGGUCAGCUGGGCUGGCCGCUCCUGUAGUCCGUGAGGAGAGAAUCCGUUUCCUUGCCCUUUCCAGCUUCUGCUGGCUACCUGCACUCCUUGGCUCAUGGCCCUUCCUCCAUCUUCAAGGUGUGUCCCUCUGGUCUCUGCUUCCAGCAUCACGUGGUCUUUCCCUCUUCUGUCAUGUCAAACCUCCUCUGCCUUCCUCUGAUCAGGGAUGCUUGUGAUGGCACUUAGGACCCAUGCAGAUAGUCUGGGAUGACCUCUCCUUCUCGAGAUGCUUAAUCACAUCUGCAGUGUCCCUUUCACUGUGUCAUAUUUAUAGGUUUCAGAGAUUAGGACGCAGACAUUUUGAGAGGCCAGAAUUCUGCCUACCACACCAGGUAGAGGUCUCUGGGCAACUGAGUCACCUCACCUUUCUGAACCUUGCUUGUUUGCUGACCUCUUGCUUCCAGGAAGACAGUGGAUGUCACGGCACAUUACACACUGUGAAGUGAGGACCAGCACAAGUGCUGAGGCUGGUUCUUGUCCCUUCCGAUGAAGCUGAGGGCCCCUCAGUUCAGUCACGUGUGGCCUUCCCCAGCCUAAGGCAAUUUGGCGCCGGUUACAGACCCUGAGUUGGUAGGUAGACACAGUCAUGUUUGUGGCCUGACCCCAGUGCAGGAUGUCCUUGGAACCACAGUAGAGGGGACGGCCAUCUUGCCAGCGCAACCCAAGGAAAAGCCCCCAGUAGUGUGCUGGAACGAAUUGGAGGUCAACCAAUCACCGAGUGACAGCACGACCUGACGCGAAAAAGGCCCACCCGGACCUAAACCCGGAACCGCUGCAGCUUAAAAACCCCAACCCACCACACCCGGGUGCGACUUCCCUGACUCCUCUCUCUCUCUCCCUGAGUCAUGGAACCUCGCCGGAGACCCUUGUUCCCAAUAAAGCCUUUGACUGCUAAAA
Molecule: long non-coding RNA, 2821 nt
Organism: Neofelis nebulosa (Clouded leopard)
Lineage: Eukaryota; Metazoa; Chordata; Mammalia; Carnivora; Felidae
Exons: 3
Source: RefSeq, a predicted model, not a curated record